AAGCUGCGUGGCGCAGCGGAAGCGCGCCGGGCUCAUAACCCGGAGGACACUGGAUCGAAACCAGUCGCAGCUAG
This 74-nucleotide transfer RNA is filed under the name Periconia digitata. RNAcentral describes it as "tRNA-Met". It matches the Rfam family "tRNA". From Rfam's summary of the family: Transfer RNA (tRNA) molecules are approximately 80 nucleotides in length. The record is from RNAcentral. Lineage: Eukaryota; Fungi; Ascomycota; Dothideomycetes; Pleosporales; Periconiaceae.